GAGUUUGAUCAUGGCUCAGGAUGAACGCUGGCGGCGUGCUUAACACAUGCAAGUCGAAGGAACCUUCGGGUUAGUGGCGGACGGGUGAGUAACGCGUGGGAAUCUGCCCUCAGGAGGGGGAUAACGGUUGGAAACGACCGCUAAUACCCCAUAUGCCGAGAGGUGAAAUGAAUUUCGCCUGAGGAUGAGCCCGCGUCUGACUAGCUUGUUGGUGAGGUAAUGGCUCACCAAGGCUUCGAUCAGUAGCUGGUCUGAGAGGAUGAUCAGCCAUACUGGGACUGAGACACGGCCCAGACUCCUACGGGAGGCAGCAGUGGGGAAUUUUCCGCAAUGGGCGAAAGCCUGACGGAGCAACGCCGCGUGAGGGAUGAAGGCCUCUGGGCUGUAAACCUCUUUUCUCAAGGAAGAAGAUAUGACGGUACUUGAGGAAUAAGCCACGGCUAAUUCCGUGCCAGCAGCCGCGGUAAUACGGGAGUGGCAAGCGUUAUCCGGAAUUAUUGGGCGUAAAGCGUCCGCAGGCGGCCUUUCAAGUCUGCUGUUAAAACGUGGAGCUCAACUCCAUCAUGGCAGUGGAAACUGAUUGGCUUGAGUAUGGUAGGGGCAGAGGGAAUUCCCGGUGUAGCGGUGAAAUGCGUAGAUAUCGGGAAGAACACCAGUGGCGAAGGCGCUCUGCUGGGCCAUUACUGACGCUCAUGGACGAAAGCCAGGGGAGCGAAAGGGAUUAGAUACCCCUGUAGUCCUGGCCGUAAACGAUGAACACUAGGUGUCGGGGGAAUCGACCCCUUCGGUGUCGUAGCUAACGCGUUAAGUGUUCCGCCUGGGGAGUACGCACGCAAGUGUGAAACUCAAAGGAAUUGACGGGGGCCCGCACAAGCGGUGGAGUAUGUGGUUUAAUUCGAUGCAACGCGAAGAACCUUACCAGGAUUUGACAUCCUGCGAACCUUUAAGAAAUUAGAGGGUGCCUUCGGGAACGCAGUGACAGGUGGUGCAUGGCUGUCGUCAGCUCGUGUCGUGAGAUGUUGGGUUAAGUCCCGCAACGAGCGCAACCCACGUUUUUAGUUGCCAGCAUUUAGUUGGGCACUCUAGAAAGACCGCCGGUGAUAAACCGGAGGAAGGUGUGGAUGACGUCAAGUCAUCAUGCCCCUUACAUCCUGGGCUACACACGUACUACAAUGCUACGGACAAAGGGCAGCAAACUCGCGAGAGCUAGCAAAUCCCAUAAACCGUGGCUCAGUUCAGAUCGUAGGCUGCAACUCGCCUACGUGAAGUAGGAAUCGCUAGUAAUCGCAGGUCAGCAUACUGCGGUGAAUACGUUCCCGGGCCUUGUACACACCGCCCGUCACACCAUGGAAGUUGGCCAUGCCCGAAGUCGUUACUUUAACCCUUGUGGAGAAGGACGCCGAAGGUGGGGCUGAUGACUGGGGUGAAGUCGUAACAAGGUAACC
Molecule: ribosomal RNA, 1445 nt
Filed under: uncultured marine cyanobacterium
Lineage: Bacteria; Bacillati; Cyanobacteriota
Description: bacterial SSU rRNA
Rfam family: Bacterial small subunit ribosomal RNA
Source: RNAcentral